AGGAAGGUGAAUCGUUCUUUGGUGUGAAGGAUAUGACCCCGGCCCGUUGGGCCAAGGCUGCCUGCCCUUGAGUUGUCCCUUUUUUUUUUUUCUUACCAUGGCUUUGGCUGUACUACGUAUCCUGGUGAGGCUGUCAUUAUGUCUUGUAACUUCUUGUAUCCAUAAGAAGCAUAAGUUUUAUUUUUCUGCACUGCUACAAAAUAAGGCUACGACAGCGGUUGAAAAACUACUGCCAUAGCCUAAAAAAUUGCUGUCAUUUCAACUAUUAUUAGAGCCCAAAAAAUUACUAUCAUAGCCUACCACAGUAGUUAGAUAAUCGCUACCAUCAUAUCUGUCACCGACAGCGACUUUUUGAGAUACGAUAGUGAUUGUGUCAAUCACUACCAUAGAAAGGUAUGGCAGCAAUUUUGUAACCGUUGUUAUAUCAAUAGCUGCCAUAGAGACUAUGGUAGCAGUUUGCCAAUUACUGUCAUAGUAUCUAUCAUAAUGGUUAUCCAACCGCUGCCGUAGAUACUACGGCAACGGUUGUUCAACCGCUGUCGUAGAUACUACAACAGCGGUUGGAAAACCUUUGCCGUAGUCUUCACCGGUCAAAAAGGUCGGUAGGUAAUGGAUGGUGGCCGGCCUGCAGUAGGAGGUGGUCGGUGGCGGUCGGGUCUGUCGAGGCGGUGGCGGCGAGGGGUGACAGCGGCGGCGGGCGGAUCCAUCGAGGCGGUGCUAGCGGUCGAGGGCGGCGGCAACGGUUGCCAGCAGUUGGGGGAGGCGGCUAGUGGUAGGCUACCGACGGCAGGGGACGGCGACGGUGGUGGUCGCGAUGGGCAGAGAUGGUGGGUGGUUGACUACUUGAGUCAUUAUAUACAAGUCAUUCAUUUCUUCUACAAUCGAUGUGGAACUAUCACAAUCAAUCAUAGAAUAGACCUACGGCAGCGGUUAUCGAUAACCAUUGCUAUAGACUGACCUAUGAUAGCAGUUAUCGGUAACUACUACCGUAAAUCCACUCUGUGGCAGCAGUUGGUGAUAACUGCUGCCAUAGGUAGAGAUAUGGUAAUAGUUAUACCUAACCACUACCAUAAGUAGAUAUAGUAGUGGUUAGUAAACCACUGUCAUAGACCAAUAGCAGCAGUUAUUAACAACCGCUGCUAUAGAGGCAGAAUAUAAUUUUUUUACUAUUUUUCUCUGAAUAUGAUAUAAUUUUAAAAUUUAAAGUCCACCUUCACCGUUUAUUAUCUAAAUAAUUAUCAUUAGAAUAUCGUCACAAAAGACCUCCUCGAUUCAGCAGCCCUAGAUGUCAAUUAUUAAAACUUGAUUUUGACGAUCACAAACAGCCGCAUAAUGAUCUGAUAGAUAGAGAUCAUCGAUGGAUCCGAAAACUUACAAUGAUGAUCUCAAUAAUAUUUAUAUUACAUUAUCAAAAUUUCAUUUCAAUCGAAUAUCAUUAUCGUGGUCAAUUUAGCACAGGAUUAUUGGACCGUUAAAUGAAAAAUGAGUGAUAGAAAAGUCAAACAACGUUCGAUUAUAAGAUAUUUUUUAGAUAAAUGAUCUUUACUACUAUUUUGAUUAUUUAUACGAUGAUGAUCGUAAAAUUCAAACUGUAUGUAUAUGAACGAUUUAAAAUUAUAUAUCGUUUACUACUCAUUCUUAAAUUCUUUAAGUAAUUGUACUUGUACUUUUAUAAGAUAUGUCCAAAUGGAUUUCAAUAUAUAUACAUAGUUCGAAUUUUAUGAUCACCACCGUAUAAAUGAUUAAAGUAUCAACAAAGAUCAUUUAUCCAAAAAAUCACCUCAAUCGAAUGUCGAUUGGCCUUGUGAUUACUCAUUUUUUCAUUUAACAAUCAAAAUCAUCCCAUACUAAAUUGAACAUGCUAAUGAUAUCCGAUUGAAGUAAAAUUUUGAUAGUGUGCUAUAAAUAUUAUCUAAAUCAUUAUCAUAAAUUUUCAGAUCCAUCGGUAGUCUUUAUCUAUCAAAUUAUCACAUAGUCAUUUAUGGCCAUCGAAAUCAAAUCUUAAUGAUCGAUAAAGCUAGGGCUACCGGAUCGAGGCAGUCUUUUAUGAAGAUACUUUAAUGAUAAUUAUUUAGAUAAUAAACAGUGAAGAUAUGCUUCAAAUUCAAUUUUACUAUUACAGGUUCACAUAAUCAUCAAAAAUUAUUUGUAAGUAUCGACUAAAUUUCUUUAAAACUCCAAUUUGAGGAGCAAAACAAUGUUUUUUCGCAAAAUCAUUAUUGUAGCCACAUGAUCUCGAAAAGUUAUAUGAAAUCAAAAAAAAAAUUCAUUGAAAUCUAACCUUUGGAUUAAAAGUUAUAGAAUGAUAAAAUUUUUACCUACGACAACCGCUACCAUAGGUGAUUUACAGUGGUGGUUAUCCAUAACCACUGCGGUAAGUCCGACUUAUGAUGGCGAUUAUUUGUAGCUGCUACAGUAGGCAUAAUCGCUGUCAUAUAAGCACUAUCAUAGCCCCUCUUUGUCGUAGUGCUAGAAGAGAUCUUAACCACAUCGUGUGAUUAGAGUCUCAAGUUAAUAUCGUGCAACCCCUUAUUUAAAUUUUUGGUAAUUUUUUAUUGGAGAUCCUGAAUGUUUAUAAUUGAUUUGAUGGUUGGACUAAUUUUAUAUAUGAGCAAUUAUCGGGGUAAGAUAGUGUUGAGUCGAAUAUUUUGCCCUCGAAUUCGUAAAUCGAGGAGCACAGUGAUGUUCAUCAUACUUAGAUUUAUCAUCAAUAGAUGUAAAAAUUUUUAGCCACAAAUACUUAUAUAUAUGUUUGCUUGUAUAUUGUAUUGUUUUGGUUUUUCACAACUAAUUUUGAUAGAUACGUGAUUGUCAGUAUGACUAUUUAUAGCUUUUAUGUUACAUACUUUUAUUGAUGGUUUGUCGGAUGGUAUGGAUUGUGAUAUCAACUACUGAAAAUUUUGAAAGAAUUAUAGUAUUUAUAAUAUUUUCUAGUAUAAUUGAGAUUAAUAAAUUGAUGGUUGAGAAAAGAGUGUUUGGACUAGCUACAUUAAAUUACGAAUAGCCUUAUAUAGACAAAAAUGUCAUCCCGAGAAUAGCCCUCCAUGAGCAAAAAUAUGGCACUGAGAACCGCCCCACCACGGAUAGAAACAUUUUACUUGAGUUUGCUAGUCACGGACUGGAGCAUGACGAUGAUUAGAUCAAAAUCUUAAAGACAACUGUUGAUUGACCUAGAUCAUAUUAAUGAGAUAUAGAUGAUAAGAUAUGAAAUCACAAUUAAGAAAAAAAAAUUUACUUAAUGCUAUAUGUGUGGCAUAUCAAUUUUGAAAAAGAUGGAUAUUUGAUGGUAUAUAAUGCAUAUUUUUGUAUAUAUGAUAUUAAGUUAUACUGGAUAUUUGGCAUGAGAUUUCGUAGUUUAUAUUCUCUCUUUGAUAUUGUUUAUCUAUUAUUUUCAAAUUAUAUACCUAUAUUGGUGUGUGUGUGGAGAUUCUUGUUAAACUGUAAAGCUUACAAGUAGAGGUGGCAAACGGGUCGGGUCGGAUCAUAAAUGGAUUGGGUCAGAAAAUGGUCAACCCAAACCCAAUCUGUUUAUUAAACGGGUCAAAAAUUCAAAUCUAAAUCCGACCUGUCUAUUAAAUAGGUAAUCCGAUCCAAUCCGAUCCGUUUAACUCAUUUAUUAAAUAGGUCAAAUUAGAUUAAACGGGUUAAACAGGUUAAACGGGUUAAACAGAUUAAACGGGUCAAGUUAAAUGGGUCAUAAAUAAGUUAAACAGAUUUUAAACAGAUUAAAUGGAUCUUAAACAGAUUAAACAGGUGAAACAGAUCGGAUUAAAUAGGUCAGAAAUAGGUUAAACAGAUUAAAUAGAUUAUUUGACUCAACCCAACCUAAAUAUUAAACGGGUUAAACGGGUCAGAUAUCUAAAAUCCAUACCUGACCCACUUAUUAAAUGGGUGAAACGGAUCGAUCCGUUUAUGACCCGAACCCAUUUAGCCUAAACCCAAACUUGUUUAUGGCGGAUCGAAUAUGGAUCGGAUUGACGGAUCGGAUCAUAUUUUACCAGUCCUACUUACAAGCCUUCUCUUUUUUUUUUGAGUUAUAGAAUAUUUAUAUUUAGCUAGGGUUGGGAUGUCGAUUUGAAAGAAUUAAUUCAUUAGAUAGAGCAUCAUCAAUAAUAGUUAGAUGAUUGAGUUUUGUAAAUUGUAUAAGAUUUGAUAUUUGUUAAUAUGAAAUAUUUAUUGUGAAUUGAAAUCAAUAGUAAUCACAAGAUGUUGAGGUUGUAAUGAGUUUUUAUGUGUACAUAUCUUUUAGAAUUUUAUCGUAAAGAGUGUGCAAUCAUCACGUGACCGACUCGAGUGCUAGAUUUUGAGUAUGAAAGCCAGCUAAAAAAAAAGAAUAUCGAGAGGCCAUAUUAUCAAUGAGAUGAUUGCCUGAAUUUUAGUGCUAUUAUUUUCAUCAAUCAUUUUUUUAAGAGAGUUUUAUUUUGUUAAUCUAGCACCAUAAAAUUUUGGUGAAGCAAAAUGAAAUUCAUGCUUACGGUUGCUUCACAGCCCAAUAUAAACAAAAUUUACCUUUUCUUACUUCAUAACCCAUGGUCCAUCAUUCAUCACAUGAUAGAGUGUUGUUGAAUACUUGAAUUACCACUGUGCUUGCUAUCUAAUGCUGCUAAGGUGAGGUCUAUCUUCUAUAGACAUUUAUGAAGAAUAUAUUUGACAGACUAGUUCAUUAAAAUUUAAAACUCAUGUUGCCUUCCAGUUUAGAACCACCCUCUUCCAUAAAAAUCAAAGACGACAACUUCUCCAAUAAGAAAAUGCCAACC
This 4757-nucleotide long non-coding RNA is filed under the name Elaeis guineensis (African oil palm). RNAcentral describes it as "long non-coding RNA (EGUI_LNC003411)". The record is from RNAcentral. Lineage: Eukaryota; Viridiplantae; Streptophyta; Magnoliopsida; Arecales; Arecaceae.